Molecule: ribosomal RNA, 300 nt
Filed under: Triticum aestivum (bread wheat)
Lineage: Eukaryota; Viridiplantae; Streptophyta; Magnoliopsida; Poales; Poaceae
Description: partial small subunit ribosomal RNA
Source: RNAcentral
AUGGAUGUGGACAAGGACAUGGAGAAGCUAGCUAUCAGCAAGGAGAAGGAUAGUGCUGACUUUGGCAAGAUGAAGCAGAUGGAGAAGCUGGCUCAGGAGCUGAAGGAGAUGAAGUGCAUUCUUAGGUCUCAGGGGGAGAUCAUUAGGAACACAAGGAAGGAGAGGGAUGAGAUGAAGAAAGAGAGGGACUGGCUGAUAGAGGAGAAGAAGAAGCUGGAGUUUCUGGUGGGUGAUCUUAUGAAAGCUGGUCAUGGCAACAAGGACAAGCUUGCCAAGAUCAAGUCAAUCCUUGAUGAGUGA